UCAUCAAGCAUUGCACCCAGAGUCUGGUCUACCAGACAUUGUACCUGGAGCUUAUUUCUUUUUAUAAUUAAAACUC
Larimichthys crocea (large yellow croaker) is the source of this 76-nucleotide non-coding RNA. The record is from Rfam. Lineage: Eukaryota; Metazoa; Chordata; Actinopteri; Sciaenidae.